GAUGAACGCUGGCGGCGUGCCUAAUACAUGCAAGUCGAGCGAACAGACGAUGAGCUUGUUCCUCUGACGUUAGCGGCGGACGGGUGAGUAACAAGUGGAUCACCUUCCUCUAUGACGUGGAUAACUUCGUAAAACCGCAUCUACUACUGCCGAAUAUGUCGAACGGGAUGGAUCAAUAGUGCAACACGGUUUUGCCGUUACUUAUAGCUGGAUCCGCGCCGCAUUAGCUAGUUGGUAAGGUAACGGCUUACCAAGGCAACGAUGCGUAGCUGAUCUGAGAGGGUGAUCGGCCACACUGGAACUGAGACACGGUCCAGACUCCUACGGGAGGCAGCAGUAGGGAAUCUUCCGCAAUGGGCGAAAGCCUGACGGAGCAACGCCGCGUGAGUGAUGAAGGUCUUCGGAUCGUAAAACUCUGUUAUUAGGGAAGAACAAAUGUGUAAGUAACUACGCACGUCUUGACGGUACCUAAUCAGAAAGCAACGGCUAACUACGUG
RNAcentral lists this ribosomal RNA (497 nucleotides) under uncultured bacterium. RNAcentral describes it as "partial 16S ribosomal RNA". It matches the Rfam family "Bacterial small subunit ribosomal RNA", at positions 28 to 507 of the family's 1533-position model. The record is from RNAcentral.